Molecule: long non-coding RNA, 514 nt
Filed under: Actinidia chinensis (golden kiwifruit)
Lineage: Eukaryota; Viridiplantae; Streptophyta; Magnoliopsida; Ericales; Actinidiaceae
Description: long non-coding RNA (ACHI_LNC006152)
Source: RNAcentral
CUACCGAUGAAGCUAGUUUUACUAUCCCAUAGAUUCAACCUUAAGAUUCAUGCCCUCGAAACUGAGCCUUAAGUCGAGAAGACUUAUGGUUUCAUCAAACCAUCGUAAAUAAGCACAAAUAAAACACAAAACCCAAAAAUUAUCGAAGUCAGCAAUCAGAAGCCACUCAAUUUACGAACUAGGAAAGAAAUUGAACAAAAAAGUAUUAUCCGCAAUAUUCGUACAUUUGUAUAAUCGCCACCUUCUUUGUUGAUUUCUUCUCUCCACUUCCAAUUGCGAGCCCAAUCAGCGAUAUUGAUUUCGAUUCGGAGCCCCGGUCCGAGAAGUUGUUAUCGCUUACCACGAACACAGAGAACCCGACUCGGUUUGGCCACCACCGGCGAGUUCCGCGUUCAAUUUUUUCCAUCAAGAGAGAGAAAACCUAGGGAUGAUUUUUCCAUCGUGAGAGAGAAAACCUAGAGGUGAUCCCCGAAUAUUAUAAAAGACCGUACGACAGAAUCGAUCGGAACGGGGG